UUGGAGGGCAAGUCUGGUGCCAGCAGCCGCGGUAAUUCCAGCUCCAAUAGCGUAUAUUAAAGUUGUUGCAGUUAAAAAGCUCGUAGUUGAAUUUUAGGCCUGGCCGGAUGGUCCGUCUUUGGCGAGUACUGUUCUGUCGUCGGGUCUAUCCUUCUGGUGAGCCGGGAUGCCCUUUAUUGGGUGUGUCGGGGAACCAGGACCAUUACCUUGAAAAAAUUAGAGUGUUUAAAGCGGGCAUUUGCUUGAAUAGAUUAGCAUGGAAUAAUAGAAUAGGACGUUGGUUCUAUUUUGUUGGUUUUAGGACCACCGUAAUGAUUAAUAGGGAUAGUUGGG
Molecule: unclassified non-coding RNA, 333 nt
Filed under: uncultured Archaeosporaceae
Lineage: Eukaryota; Fungi; Glomeromycota; Glomeromycetes; Archaeosporales; Archaeosporaceae
Description: SSU rRNA
Rfam family: Eukaryotic small subunit ribosomal RNA
Source: RNAcentral